Molecule: ribosomal RNA, 117 nt
Filed under: Candidatus Merdivicinus faecavium
Lineage: Bacteria; Bacillati; Bacillota; Clostridia; Eubacteriales; Oscillospiraceae
Source: RNAcentral
GCCGGUGUUGAUGACGAUGAGGAUCCACCUGUUCCCAUCCCGAACACAGAAGUUAAGCUCAUGGGUGCCGAAAAUACUUGGCUGGAGACGGCCCGGGAAAAUAGGACGAUGCCAGCA